GACGAACGCUGGCGGCGUGCUUAAUACAUGCAAGUCGAACGAAGAGCGAUGGAAGCUUGCUUCUAUCAAUCUUAGUGGCGAACGGGUGAGUAACGCGUAAUCAACCUGCCCUUCAGAGGGGGACAACAGUUGAAACGACUGCUAAUACCGCAUACGAACUAAUCUCGGCAUUGAGGAUAGAUUAAAGGGUGCCCCUACAUUUAAGCUAUCACUGAAGGAGGGGGUUGCGGCUGAUUAGCUAGUUGGAGGGGUAACGGCCCACCAAGGCGAUGAUCAGUAGCCGGUCUGAGAGGAUGAACGGCCACAUUGGGACUGAGACACGGCCCAGACUCCUACGGGAGGCAGCAGUGGGGAAUCUUCCGCAAUGGACGAAAGUCUGACGGAGCAACGCCGCGUGAGUGAUGACGGCCUUCGGGUUGUAAAGCUCUGUUAAUCGGGACGAAAGGCCUUCUUGCGAAUAGUGAGAAGGAUUGACGGUACCGGAAUAGAAAGCCACGGCUAACUACGUG
Molecule: ribosomal RNA, 509 nt
Filed under: uncultured bacterium
Lineage: Bacteria
Description: partial 16S ribosomal RNA
Rfam family: Bacterial small subunit ribosomal RNA
Source: RNAcentral